GCGUACCUUUUGUAUAAUGGGUCAGCGACUUAUAUUCUGUAGCAAGGUUAACCGUAUAGGGGAGCCGGAGGGAAACCGAGUCUUAAUUGGGCGUUAAGUUGCAGGGUAUAGACCCGAAACCCGGUGAUCUAGCCAUGGGCAGGUUGAAGGUUGGGUAACACUAACUGGAGGACCGAACCGACUAAUGUUGAAAAAUUAGCGGAUGACCUGUGGCUGGGGGUGAAAGGCCAAUCAAACCGGGAGAUAGCUGGUUCUCCCCGAAAGCUAUUUAGGUAGCGCCUCGUGAAUUCAUCUCCGGGGGUAGAGCACUGUUUCGGCUAGGGGGCCAUCCCGGCUUACCAACCCGAUGCAAACUGCGAAUACCGGAGAAUGUUAUCACGGGAGACACACGGCGGGUGCUAACGUCCGUCGUGAAGAGGGAAACAACCCAGACCGCCAGCUAAGGUCCCAAAGUCAUGGUUAAGUGGGAAACGAUGUGGGAAGGCCCAGACAGCCAGGAUGUUGGCUUAGAAGCAGCCAUCAUUUAAAGAAAGCGUAAUAGCUCACUGGUCGAGUCGGCCUGCGCGGAAGAUGUAACGGGGCUAAACCAUGCACCGAAGCUGCGGCAGCGAACGUAUCACCCAAGACAACUUUACGGAGUUGACGAUUGACGGAGCGAAGCGACGUCAAAGCGUUCAUUAAAGUCGAGUUGGCUUAGGGAUACGUUCGUUGGGUAGGGGAGCGUUCUGUAAGCCUGUGAAGGUGUGUCGUGAGGCAUGCUGGAGGUAUCAGAAGUGCGAAUGCUGACAUAAGUAACGAUAAAGCGGGUGAAAAGCCCGCUCGCCGGAAGACCAAGGGUUCCUGUCCAACGUUAAUCGGGGCAGGGUGAGUCGACCCCUAAGGCGAGGCCGAAAGGCGUAGUCGAUGGGAAACGGGUUAAUAUUCCCGUACUUGGUGUUACUGCGAAGGGGGGACGGAGAAGGCUAUGUUGGCCGGGCGACGGUUGUCCCGGUUUAAGCGUGUAGGUGUGUGUUCCAGGUAAAUCCGGUUCACUUUAACACUGAGGCGUGACGACGAGGCACUACGGUGCUGAAGCAACAAAUGCCCUGCUUCCAGGAAAAGCCUCUAAGCAUCAGGUAACACGAAAUCGUACCCCAAACCGACACAGGUGGUCAGGUAGAGAAUACCAAGGCGCUUGAGAGAACUCGGGUGAAGGAACUAGGCAAAAUGGUGCCGUAACUUCGGGAGAAGGCACGCUGACACGUAGGUGAAGUGAUUUACUCAUGGAGCUGAAGUCAGUCGAAGAUACCAGCUGGCUGCAACUGUUUAUUAAAAACACAGCACUGUGCAAACACGAAAGUGGACGUAUACGGUGUGACGCCUGCCCGGUGCCGGAA
Molecule: ribosomal RNA, 1376 nt
Filed under: Salmonella enterica
Lineage: Bacteria; Pseudomonadati; Pseudomonadota; Gammaproteobacteria; Enterobacterales; Enterobacteriaceae
Also listed under: 1 other name
Description: partial 23S ribosomal RNA
Rfam family: Bacterial large subunit ribosomal RNA
Source: RNAcentral